CUCUUCCGUAGGUGAACCUGCGGAAGGAUCAUUA
This 34-nucleotide ribosomal RNA is filed under the name Candida albicans. Its description in RNAcentral is "partial 18S ribosomal RNA". The record is from RNAcentral. Lineage: Eukaryota; Fungi; Ascomycota; Pichiomycetes; Serinales; Debaryomycetaceae.